RNAcentral lists this transfer RNA (87 nucleotides) under Candidatus Roizmanbacteria bacterium RIFCSPHIGHO2_01_FULL_39_8. Its description in RNAcentral is "tRNA-Ser". It matches the Rfam family "tRNA". From Rfam's summary of the family: Transfer RNA (tRNA) molecules are approximately 80 nucleotides in length. Their secondary structure includes four short double-helical elements and three loops (D, anti-codon, and T loops). The record is from RNAcentral. Lineage: Bacteria; Candidatus Roizmaniibacteriota.
GGAGGGUUGGCCGAGCGGUUUAUGGCGCAAGUCUUGAAAACUUGUGAGCGCAAGCUCUCACAGGUUCGAAUCCUGUACCCUCCGCCA